CAGGACUGUGGCUGUCCGAAUCGACUUCCUCUUGCUCUGCUCCCUCCCCACCCACCCCCGCGACUUCUGGGAGCCUGGAGUCAGGCCUUGAGCUAAGAGCCCUAGGAAAAGUCCGAGCCAGAGGGCCAAGAAGGGGGCGCCCCGCUGAGUACCCAAGUCUGCAGCGCAGGAAGUUCAGCUUCCGCACCCGAGAGGCAUCACCCAGGGAGAUGACAGAGGAGAAGGCGGCCACGGAACCCAGGAGACCUCAGGGCGGAGGUGAUCUUGCUUUUCUCCGGAGGGCGGCUGGUUUGUCAAAGACUGCCCAAGCCCUCUAGGGGCUUCCAAGGGAGGGAAGGGAGAGAGAUGUGUUAGAAGCGUCUCUGCACAGUGGAGCUGAGAUUUCCCAGGACGUCUCCCACAGUGCUUUCCAUCAGCCGAACCCAACUGCAAGUAAGAGGACAAGAGACCCGUGAUUCAGUCCAUACAGGUUGACCUCCCUGGGGCAUGGGAGAGGAUGGAGGAGAAUAGAGAAUGGAUCUGGAAAAGAAAACAGAAAACAUUCAGCACACGUGUUAUCUCAGUUUGGACAAUUAGCUCUUCUUGCUCUAGAACUUGAAAUUGAAAACAGAGAGACAGAGAAAUUGUCAUUAAAAAUGAAUACCGUUAAUGGUGCAUGACAGAAUGUCCACCAGUUUCUGCUGCCGAAGAAUCUUGACCUUUUCUGCUUCCAUUUCUUCUACAAAUUGGUUGCUCAGUGAUCCAGGAUGUUUCCAAUAUGUCUCUUACUUCUGCCUAAUACGAUGGAAGUCAUUUACUGUCACUUAUAACUGAAAGGUCCCUAAUGAAGCAAUGCCCAAAUUUUUAGUAUUGGCAUUUAGAUCACUGCAUUUAUGGCUACAUUCCCAACUGUACUCAAGAAAAGGACUUAUGUAGAAGAAGAGGAAGCGGAGGAGAAAGGGGAGGAAAGAGAGGAGAUCGGGGAAAGAAGGAGAAGGGAAGGAGGAGGAAGGGUGGGAAAGGGAAUAGAAAGAGAACAAGAACACAAAUGAUUAUAAAUACUUGGAAAGUAGGAACUUCUUCAAUAUGAUCCUGCUGAGAACCACUGUCCCAUCACCCACAUUCUCAGAUGGCUCUUUUGGAGAAAAACUUAAUUAUUGGGUUCUAAUUUUUUAGAGUUAGCUAUUUUGCUUAAUUGAAUUUGCUAGUUAACUGUCCAUAACCUUUGAAUUUUAAUCUAAGCCAUAUUACCUGAAAUCUUAUAUAGAUCUGCAGCAGUUGCUUGAGAUCCCUAAAGGGCAGA
Long non-coding RNA from Bos taurus (domestic cattle), 1282 nucleotides. The record is from Ensembl. NCBI's taxonomy places the organism in Eukaryota, Metazoa, Chordata, Mammalia, Artiodactyla, Bovidae.